Molecule: ribosomal RNA, 468 nt
Filed under: uncultured bacterium
Lineage: Bacteria
Description: partial 16S ribosomal RNA
Rfam family: Bacterial small subunit ribosomal RNA
Source: RNAcentral
GACGAACGCUGGCGGCGUGCUUAACACAUGCAAGUCGAACGGAAAGGCCCUGCGUUUGUGGGGUGCUCGAGUGGCGAACGGGUGAGUAACACGUGAGUAACCUGCCCUUGACUUUGGGAUAACUUCAGGAAACUGGGGCUAAUAUCGUAUAGGAGCUCCUGCUGCAUGGUGGGGGUUGGAAAGUUUCGGCGGUUGGGGAUGGACUCGCGGCUUAUCAGCUUGUUGGUGGGGUAGUGGCUUACCAAGGCUUUGAAGGGUAGCCGGCCUGGGAGGGUGACCGGCCACCUUGGGCCUGAGAUACGGCCCAGAGUCCUACGGGAGGCAGCAGUCGGGAAUAUGGCACAGUGGGCGGACGCCUGAUGCAGCAACGCCGCGUGCGGGAUGACGGCCUUCGGGUUGUAAACCGCUUUCGCCUGUGACGAAGCGUGUGUGACGGUAAUGGGUAAAGAAGCACCGGCUAACUACGUG